Molecule: small nuclear RNA, 100 nt
Organism: Rattus norvegicus (Norway rat)
Lineage: Eukaryota; Metazoa; Chordata; Mammalia; Rodentia; Muridae
Source: Ensembl
GUUAUUUGGCACAUAUACUAAAAUUGCAACGAUAAAGAGAAGAUUAGCAUGGCCCCUUCACAAGGAUAACAUGCAAAUUCGUGAAGCGAUCCACAUUUUU